Molecule: ribosomal RNA, 440 nt
Filed under: uncultured bacterium
Lineage: Bacteria
Description: partial 16S ribosomal RNA
Rfam family: Bacterial small subunit ribosomal RNA
Source: RNAcentral
CCUACGGGUGGCUGCAGUGGGGAAUAUUGCACAAUGGGGGAAACCCUGAUGCAGCGACGCCGCGUGAGGGAAGAAGUAAUUCGUUACGUAAAGCUCUAUCAGCAGGGAAGAAAAUGACGGUCCCUGAGUAAGAAGCCCCGGCUAACUACGUGCCAGCAGCCGCGGUAAUACGGAGGGGGCAAGCGUUAUCCGGAUUUACUGGGUGUAAGGGGAGCGUAGAGGGUGCGCCAGGUCUGGAGUGAAAUGCCGCAGCUUAACUGCGGAACGGCUUUGGAAACUGGCGAACUAGAGUGGGGGAGGGGUAAGCGGAAUGCGUGGUGUAGCGGUGAAAUGCGUAGAUAUUAGGCGGAACCCCGGUGGCGAAGGCAGCUUACCGGACCGCAACUGACGUUGAGGCUCGAAAGCGUGGGGAGCAAACAGGAUUAGAUACCCGAGUAGUC